UACGUAGGGUGCAAGCGUUGUCCGGAAUUAUUGGGCGUAAAGAGCUCGUAGGCGGUCUGUCGCGUCGGCUGUGAAAUCCCGAGGCUCAACCUCGGGUCUGCAGUCGAUACGGGCAAACUGGAGUACUGUAGGGGAGACUGGAAUUCCUGGUGUAGCGGUGAAAUGCGCAGAUAUCAGGAGGAACACCGGCGGCGAAGGCGGGCGACCUGGUCCGAUACUGACGCUGAGGCGCGAAAGCGUGGGGGAGCGAACAGG
RNAcentral lists this ribosomal RNA (255 nucleotides) under uncultured bacterium. Its description in RNAcentral is "partial 16S ribosomal RNA". It matches the Rfam family "Bacterial small subunit ribosomal RNA", at positions 524 to 776 of the family's 1533-position model. The record is from RNAcentral.